RNAcentral lists this long non-coding RNA (6570 nucleotides) under Sus scrofa (pig). Its description in RNAcentral is "lncRNA (ENSSSCG00015039565.1)". Lineage: Eukaryota; Metazoa; Chordata; Mammalia; Artiodactyla; Suidae. The record is from RNAcentral.
UUUUUUUUUUUUUUGGUCUUUUGCCAUUUCUUGGGCCUCUCUGGCAGCAUAUGGAGGUUCCUAGGCUAGGGGUCCAAUCGGAGCCAUAGCCACCGGCCUAUACCACAGCCACAGCAACACAGGAUCCAAGCCAUAUCUGUGACCUAUGCCACAGCUCACGGCAACGCCAGAUCCUUAACCCACUGAGCAAGGCCAGGGAUUGAACCCGCAACCUCAUGGUUCCUAGUCGGAUUUGUUAACCACUGAGCCAUGACAGGGACUCCAGGCCAUACUUUUUUCUCUGGAUCGCAAUAGUGACCCGGUCCUGCUGCCUGAAGUCACACUGGGCCCCCACAUUCUGGACGUACGCGCGAGGGACACCCAUGCUGGAGGUCUGCUAUGACAGUGGUGGCCUGCCAUCAUCACCAAACCCGAGUGUGAGGUGGGUGUCAUCGGUACGUCUAGGAGUUUGGUCUCCAUCAUGACAACCAACAUCCUUCACCUCUUCAAGGUUGGUGCCCGGCCGGGUAGCCCCAGAGGUUUCUUCCAACAACAGCCCCGCCCUCCACACCCAGGGUGCCGGCCUACCCAGCUCCUUUGUCCUCUUCUCCCAAUUCUGUGGGAGAGACUGCGCCCCCCCAUGCCCAGCAGUGGGUAUUUGGGGCUAAUCUAAGGUCAGAGGGGUGCUGACCAGGAUGCUGAGUAGCUCCUAGAUGAACUCUGCUCCUCUGGGGGGAAUUCUUAAGCAGGAGUGGAAGAGAAAAUGCUGGUGAACAGCAGAAGGGAGGAGGAGACAGGCAGACAGAUAUAUAAGAAACCCAGACAGAUAGAUGGGUAGAAAUCUAGGUAAAUACAAAGGUAGACGGGUUAGAUGAUAGAUGUAGAAUGGAAACGUCCAUGUUGGAGAUGGCCAGGGAGAAAAAAGCAAGACUUGUUGACAUUAUUUUCAAAUAAUUGCAAUUCCCAAGAAAGAUAGAUUCUUUCUCAUUUCUGGGUAGUUGAGAAAGCCCUGUGUGGCCCUCCUGCUCCACCUCAAGAUUAUAGUUAGAAAAUGUGUUCUGAUUUUUUUUGGGAUGAGGCAUUGGCUACGGAGCCCACAGGGGAGAUGAGGAUGGAAAAAGUCUGGAGGGGGCAGAGGGUCCCUGUUUCUGGUACCCCUGGCCUUGAACCCAGCUUCUCUGGCUCAUCUCCCUCCUUUUGCUCCUAUUCCUUGCAUGCCUUUCUUCCUUUGCUUCUGGAACCCUGUCCCCUGUUUGCUGCCUCUUUUUCUCUCUUCCUGGAACUUGAGAUGCUAAUUUGCAACUCAGCUAGAGCCUUGUGCUGCACCAAAGAGUUGGUGUAAGGCAGGGAGAGAGAGGAAGAGAGUAGGGUGAGGGAGGAGGAAGGCUCACACAGAGGGAGCCUCUGAGUCCCUCUGGGCCUGGAGAUGGCCCUCCACCUCCUUUAAAGUCUUCAGAGUCAGGAAGUGGACAGGGAGAGGCUGUUUGGCGUCAUGCAGGGUGGGAAGUGCUGAGGCUGGAGGCCUCUCUCUGGACCCCUUCUGGAACCCAUUUGCCCAAUCCCAGGAUGCAUCAGUACUUGGCAUUUCUGGGAGCUGGGGUGGAAGUGAGAUGAGUGGUGUGAUCGUCCCUGUGUGGCUGCGGAGGUAGGUGGGAAAGAAAGGUGGUCCUGUCAUGGCAGGGGCGGAGUUGGCACUCUGCCAGGGGCUGGCCUGGGCCACAGGAUCCUGUGUGGUUCUUGCCUUUGGGCCUUCCUCCUGGAGUGUUGGUCUUGCUUGAUGAUCUGGAUGAAAUCACUAUUUUAAUUUUAAAACAAAUGGCUGCAUUAGGAAGGAUGCAAAAUCAUGAUGAAGCAGGAGACUUGAAGGAAACUUUGCUUUUGCAGUGGACAUUUUGAACAAUUCCUGGGAGCUGUGUGGCUCAUGGACAUUUGUUGGUGGGAUGGCUGGGGAAUGGGUAGCCUGGUCCAGUCUGUCUGAAACUGAAACCACACACAGUUUGGUGGUGAAAUGGGACCUGAACCCAGAUGAGACUUGAACCCAGACAGAACUCAGACUGGGACUCAGACCCACUGUCUUUUAAUGAAAAUUACUCACCUGGCAUCAGGAUUUACUAAAGUUCAGGGUCUUUAUGUUUUUGCACAGAAGGAAUUCAGCAAGAGGCAAAGCAAUGUUAAAAAGUAGAUUUGUUGAGAGAGAUACACAGUUCAUAGACAGAAUGUGGUCCGUCUCAGAAGGUGAGAGGAGCCCUGAAAUAUGGAUUGGUUAGUUUUUAUGGGCUAAUUUCACAGGCUAACAAGUGGGAGGAUUAUCCCAACUAUUUUGGAUAAGGGGGAUGGAUUUCAGGAACUGGGCCUCUGCCUGCUUUUUGGCCUUUUAUGACAGUUCAGCCUCAGAACUGUCACGACGCCCGUGGGUAUAUUAUUUAGCUAUUGCAUCACAGUGAGUGUCAAGCAAGGCUUCGGGUGCACCGGAAGUCCAAUCUUCCGCCAUCUUGGCUCUAAUUGGUUCUGACUAGUUUUUGUCCUGUUUUUCAAUGGCUCUCUCAUUAUCUUAAAGGUUUGGCCCUGUCCCUUCCCUCCUGUCUCACCUCCAUCUGCCCACUUUUGCAGUGAGUGGAGACCCAGAGGGGAGGGGAGCAGGGCUCUGAGAUCCCAGGCCUGGGCCUAGGGAAGGCAGCCCAGGGCUAGCUAAGUCAUCACAGCCUGCCCAUCCUACACUUGGGAGGUGAGGUGACUUGGGCUUUCCAGCAGAGGGGACAAACCCCAGACUCCUCAUCCGCCUGUCUGGGUGGAGCACAGACCUCUAGCCUCUGAGAAGCCUAGACCAUGGAUGGGGCUGCUACAGUGUCCUUAUCUAAGGUGACUCUGGGUGUUUUAAAAGAUGGUAAAACAGGGAGUUCCCGUCAUGGCUCAGCAGACAAGAAUCUGACUAGUAUCCAUGAGGACACAGGUUCAAUUCCUGGCCUCACUCAGUGGGUUAAUGAUCCAGCCUUGCCGUGAGCUGUGGUGUAGGUCACAGACUUGGCUUGGAUCUGGCAUUGCUGUGGCUGUGGCAAAGGCUGGCAGCUCAGCACCAAUUUAGCCCUUAGCCUGGGAACCUCCAUGUGCUGCGGGUGUGGCCCUAAAAAAAAAAGAAAAAUGGUAAAACCUUAUCAGGACCUUGAGGCUAUGACACUGGUGAAGGUGGGAGCCAGUAGAUCAAAGUUGCUGACGGUAUCACUGGGAACAUGGUAGAAGCUCCAGGAAAGGUCACUGUCAGCAUUAAUCCUUAAAGCAUGGUCUCAGAUACACAACUGAGGCGCACAGUGUCCACGCGGGUGUGGGCUGUGCCUUCUGUGCUGACCUCUCCUAGGGUGGGGAAGGGCUCCUUCUCCAGCUAGAGACCAGGGGAAGGUGGUGUGGGGACACUGGGGCCAAAGGCCUCACCAGCCUAGGCACUCACAGGUGUUCCUUUUUGUGUGCCUUUCUGGUCACACAUGGAUGUGGCCGUGGCCUUGGUUUUGUCUGUGCCUCCUCGGGUUACAGGGACAUGAGUGGGUUGGGGCAGGAGGUCAGGAGUGCCCCAGGCUGCACAGAGAGUCAGAUGGGACAGACAGGGGCACAGAGGGGGCAUGCUGGGCAAGGAAGGGGGGAAGGCAGGAGAGGCAGAGGAGACAGCUGGCCAUGGCCUGAAGUCCCUGGGCCCCUUUUAACACAUUCAUGGCGACAAGAGAACUCCUCAGUAAUGAAACUGAUAGAAAUGAGAUGCUGGGUGAGAAACUUAAAAGCCAUUUACAGAGGUAAAAAGGCUGAACCUUGGAGAAGGAGGUCAGGAGCAGGAGCCUUAGGCAGGAGAGGAUGAGAGAGGGGGGAUUGGGGUGGAGGGGGCAGCUGCACGUCAGGUGUCUGUUUCGAAGGGCACUAUUGCACCCCCACUCCUGCCAAGGCUGUGAGUGGGGCCUGCUGGGAACCUCCCCCAGAGGCUGUGAUUCCAGCUCCCGCUCCUCCAGAAGGUAGAUUUCCUGUGCCCAGCUCAGAGAGAAGCUCUGGGUUUGGGGGCACUAGGAGUGAUUGAGAAUGCUAAUGGGGUUCAGCCAAGGCCAGGGUAUGAGCAAAACUCACAACUGCCAGAGCUGGGAGGGGCCAACUCCCUGUCCUACAGAUGUGGAAACUUGAGCCCUGAUUUAGGGAUGGGCCAGGGGUGGGAACCAGGUCCCUGCUCUGAGACCUGACUCCUUCCAGACUGCUGUGCAAAUAAACUGGAAGUGGGGCUCGAACCCAGGCCUCCAUUAGGGAUCAGAAGCCCUGACUUUGGGAACUCAUGGGUCUGAUAGCUUAUGUCCCUUGCUCCCCUGUUCCCAGUCCCUCUUUCAUCUUCAUUUUGGCUCCAUUCUCCUCGGACAGGGAAUACUGAUGAAGGUAAAGAAUACUUUUGGGAGGAGGUCCUAACCCACAGGCUGUGGACGGUACCAUACUAUGUUGUAGGGACAGGUCAGUUGCUGAAGCCAGGCAGGUCUGGGUUUGACUCUGCUCCAGCAGUUACCUCACCAUACUCACUGGACUUACUCACCGUGCCAGUCAUUUACACCGUAGUAUGAAUGAGUCAAUAAGGUCUUUUCCUGAGAGCAGCCACUGCUGGGGGAGAAAGAACCUACCAAGUACCCUGGAAGGAAGCUGUUGUAAAAUCCUUGACCUAUAAGAGCUCAGGAGGAUCCAGAAAUCUUCAUUGAGCCCCUCAUCCAUUUUACAGUGGAGGCUCAAAGAAGGGGCGAUUGUGUAGCAUGGUGGUUAAGAAUUUCGACACUGGAGCUAGACAGCUUUUACCACCUUGGCAAAUUGCUUAGCUUGGUUUCCUCAUUUUAUAAAAUGGGGAUGAUAGUUGGUCUCAUAGGCCAGGUGUGGGAAUUAAGGGUUAAUGUUUAGAGAAGGCCUAGCAUGGUGCCUGACACACAGUCAGUCCACAGGAGAUGUCAUGGCCUACCUUGUAGCCAGGCCUUAAGUCAGCAUGAGAGACUCUGUCAAUGAGAAGAGGCUGGAAGAGUGGGCAGUGACAGAUGGUGACCUUUGAGGCUGAUCCUGGAGAGGCCCCGCCAUCUGCUGGGCCUUGUGUAUCUUCCUGCUGAGCUGAGACUGAGCAGUCAACUUCACUCAUGGAAAAUGAGUUUUCUCACUGUCACAAUCCUGGGGCUUGAGAACUGGGAGUCGGGGAAGUGGAGGGAGGGCAGGACGGGGCAGGCAGGAGAGAGAGGAUGGAGGGGAGGCCAGCCAGUGGGUGGCCGGGCAGGUGCCCCAGCUUCACAGGAGAGGCCCUACUAGGGACCCUGGUGAGCGACCUUGGCCCUCUGUGCACCACCACAGCCUAACCCUGUAGGUGCUUGUGCCACCUGGGGCUGUAAGUGCUGUGUUUGUGGCUGCUUCUAGAGAAGCUGCCUGCCUGACCCUUAGCACCUCGCCCAGGGCUCCUGGGGAAACUUUGCGGCUCAGCUGAUACUAGACAUUCUGUUGAGGAGGUGGCUUUUGCGUCUUCAAAGUGUUUUCUCAGCACAGUCAGGAGGAACUUUCCAGAAGGUCCACCCACUGUCCCACAGCCUGCCUGUCCUCCUUGAUGACAGCGCCAUCCUUCCAGUGUCCAGGCCAAAAAACUUGGUGGCAUUUUUGACCUCCCUGCACCACUGUCAAGCAAGCCCUGCAGCUCUGCUUUAGAAUACUUCCCAGAGACUCCUCACCCUACCCCGGAGCUCUCUCACCAGAUCGUGCAGAAGCCUUGCUCUUCUCUCUGUUUCCAAACGGGUCUUUCCACAACCAGUCCUUUGCUCAGUGGCCAGAGUGAUCAUCCUAAAAGCCAUAUCAAAUCUACUCACCCACCCUGCUUAAACUUUUUAUCGACUUUGCAUUGCUCUUAGAUUAAAAUACAAACUUCCAGGAGUUCCUGUUGUGGCUCAGUGGUUAACGAACCCAAUUAGUAUCCAUGAGGAUGCUCGUUCCAUCCCUGGCUUUGCUCAGUGGGUUAAGGAUCCAGCAUUGCCGUGAGCUGUGGUGUAGGUCGCAGACUUGGCUCAGACCCUGCUGUGGCUCUGGUAUAGGCCAGCAGCUAUAGCUCCAAUUUGACCCCUAGUCUGGGAACCUCCAUGUGCUGUGGAUGUGGCCCUACAAAUACACACACACACAAACUUCCAGACUGCUUGCCAGUCUGAGAGGCCCUGUGCUUCCUGAUGCCCUGACCACUCCCUUGUGCCUCUCCUGGGUGCAUUCCGCACCAGUCAUACUGUUGUUUUUGUGUUCCUUGAAGACCCCAUGCUAUUUUCCCAACCACAGGGGCUUUGCACCUCUGUUCCCUUUGUACGUAAUGUUCUGCCCCACUCUUUGAGGCUGAAUCCUUCUUAUUCAACCUGAAGCUUAAAUGAACUUCCUUCAGAGAAACACCCUCCCUUCUGCAGUUAUUCUAAUUCCCCAUCUUUCCCUUCAUGGCCCUUAUCACACUUUGUAGUCAUGUUCAUAUUUGUUUGUUUUUCUGUUUCUGUUGGCUUCCCUUCUGGCCUGCUGCCUGUUUUUGCAUGGUCCAUGAGUUAAGAAUGAUCUUUGUGUCUUAAAUGUUUAAAAAAAAAAAAAAAA